UUCCCGACUCCAAGCAGGACCGUCCCUGGAACGCAUGCGCCUUCCAUUAACUGCGGUCUCCUAGACUCAACAUCUUCCACAUCCAGUGUUUUUAAUCUCCCAUGAACGCGCAUGUAAACACCCCUGGGAACGCGCUUGCCAGAGGCUCGCCCCCUCCAAAAUCCCUAAAAAGGGGCGGGGUGGGGCGGGGAAAUGGGCGCCUGGGCGAGGCCGGAAAGAGAAGAAUCCUGCAGGAAGGAAAGAAGCUGAACUAGUUGGGACGUGACUGGGCAUGCGCACGGGUUACCUGUCCUGAACUGCCUUAACAAUGAGCCUGCUGCGGCGGGAGGUAGUGUGCGGCUCCCAGCAUGCACCAGGCCCAGGCUGUCGAGUGGCACCCCAGGGGCUCCUGGGAGUUGUAGUUUUGCGGAGCCUCCUCGCCUUUAUCCUGGAAUGACCUAUCGCCCACUUCGUAUCCCGGCAGCUUCCCUGGAAAUCGGCUGAGUCGCGGCACCGACUCACCUCUAAGGAAUUGAGGGGUAGCCCAGGUCUGAACAGUUCUCCCUCUAGUAGAAGAGAAGCAUUGGGAGAGAAAGGACCUUGUCUGCUUAGUCAUCGCUGUAUUUCCAGCCCCUCAAAGAAGUAGCUGGCACAUUAGGAGGCAUGCUGGAUCAACUCCCUCAUCACAUGUCCAGCUGAUGACUGCAUUCUUAUACCUAUUUGACAAUACGGUACAAAUGCAAUGCAAAUCAACUACAAAGCAAAACUGCUCAUCUUGCAAAGCUAUGGAUUUUUUCAGGUUUAUUGAAGGAAGGCCAGUGUGCAAGCGAGGGAAAGAGAAAUGCCAUUUGUUCAUUAACCAGCACAAAGGAACUGGAGGAGUGUUUUAUUCAUUCUACAGAGAAACCUAACAUGCUGUUCAUUCUGCAAUAGAGUACACUUACUGCGGGGGAUCAGGAUACUCUGGCCAGCAGAAACUGAGAUUUAAGACACAUCAGCCAUCUAAGUAGGUGGAGAAGACAGCUGCGGUUGGCGAGACCCGAAGUCCCCUCCCACUGCUUGCUGGUUGAUGCCUGAGACUUGGAAACUCAGGAAUGCGUUUUCUUGGAUUAAGAUUUCAUCUAUUAAAAUACUAACAGCCCUUCUCAGGAUCCCAUGUGAAACUCUCCGGGCCAUUUUCACUCUGCUGGUAAGAGGCUCCCUGGCUCCAGCUUUUCCCAGCUGGGUAGGGAGAGAGCGAGUGGAUCCUGGCCCUUUGGCGAUGAGAGGGGGGUGUGCCUGGGGGGAGACACUCUCGGAGGAGCCCACAAAGACAAUAGGAACGCUUUUCCGUGUGUAAAACCAUUUUUGCCCAUUCCUACCACAGCCUCCCUGCCCUGCAUCCUGGGGGAAUAUAAGGUUGAUACGGUAACACGGCUGGGAGAAAGCCCGCCCACCCGAGUCUCAGGCAACCCUAAACCACAGCUGGGAUUAUCCUAGCAUUUAAUCCCUCAUCCUUAGCCAAGCUGCUUGCUUAGUUUGACCAGUGUCUUCUGUUUUUCCAUAAUGACCAGAGGCAUUCUAAUUCAUCAUUUUUUAAAGAUUUUAUUUAUCUAUUUGACAGACAGAGAUCACAAGUAGGCAGAGAGGCAGGCAGAGAGAGGGGAGGAAGCAGGCUCCCCCUGGAGCAGAGGGCUCGCUGCGGGGGGCUCGCUGCAGGGCUCGCUGUAGUACUCGAUGAGGGGCUCGAUCCCACAUGACCUGAGCCGAAGGCAAAGGUUUAACCCACUGAGCCACCCAGGCGCUCCAUCUAAUUCACCAUUUUAAAAGGUAUUCUAUAAAAGACUUCUGACAUGGGGCGGGGUGCGGGGGGUAGGGAGUGAGGUGGGGAGUGACUCUUUCUCCGGCUGGCAAGGCUUCUAAAGGAGGGAAAUCCCUGCGGCUGUGUGGAAGUGACUCAAGUCCUGAGAUGGUCUGUCAGCUCCUUGCACUGGUGUUACUGGUUGCAUGGCGACCUCACUGAGGUAACAGUGUCAUUUUAUUUUCACUUCUCACUACUUAACUUAGGUGUUUCCUCUUAUGUAACUUUCAAAAACAGUUUCCUACCUAAGAAGGGUGAAAAGGAGAUUUUAUGAAGUUGAGCUUAUUAUGGCACUUAAAAAUAAUUUGCAGUAUAGUACAUGUCUUUCUUCUUAAAGCUAUGACACGGCUGUUCAAAAAAAAAAAAAAA
Mustela erminea (ermine) is the source of this 2188-nucleotide long non-coding RNA. RefSeq lists it as uncharacterized. NCBI's taxonomy places the organism in Eukaryota, Metazoa, Chordata, Mammalia, Carnivora, Mustelidae. The record is from RefSeq and is a predicted model, not a curated record. The transcript has 5 exons.